RNAcentral lists this ribosomal RNA (31 nucleotides) under Tuber sinense. RNAcentral describes it as "partial 28S ribosomal RNA". Lineage: Eukaryota; Fungi; Ascomycota; Pezizomycetes; Pezizales; Tuberaceae. The record is from RNAcentral.
GGUUGACCUCGAAUCAGGUAGGGAAUACCCG